RNAcentral lists this ribosomal RNA (511 nucleotides) under uncultured bacterium. Its description in RNAcentral is "partial 16S ribosomal RNA". It matches the Rfam family "Bacterial small subunit ribosomal RNA", at positions 29 to 507 of the family's 1533-position model. The record is from RNAcentral.
AUGAACGCUGGCGGCGUGCCUAAUACCUGCAAGUCGAACGAAACUUCUUUAUCACCGAGUGCUUGCACUCACCGAUAAAGAGUUGAGUGGCGAACGGGUGAGUAACACGUGGGCAACCUGCCCAAAAGAGGGGGAUAACACUUGGAAACAGGUGCUAAUACCGCAUAACCAUAGUUACCGCAUGGUAACUAUGUAAAAGGUGGCUAUACUACCGCUUUUGGAUGGGCCCGCGGCGCAUUAGCUAGUUGGUAGGGUAAAGGCUUACCAAGGCAAUGAUGCGUAGCCGAAUUGAGAGGUUGAUCGGCCACAUUGGGACUGAGACACGGCCCAAACUCCUACGGGAGGCAGCAGUAGGGAAUCUUCCACAAUGGGCGAAAGCCUGAUGGAGCAACGCCGCGUGGGUGAAGAAGGUCUUCGGAUCGUAAAACCCUGUUGUUAGAGAAGAAAGUGCGUGAGAGUAACUGUUCACGUUUCGACGGUAUCUAACCAGAAAGCCACUGCUAACUACGUG